ACCGACCGUCCCUAAAGCAAGUGGCAAAGGGUUUGGUAGUUGGUACCUGAGACCCAAGUUCGAAUCCUAGUUGAUUCACAUUUCCAGCUAAGUUUAUUUUUAAAUAAAAUAAACGAAGCAGGUAGCGUGCUAUCUAUCUCUCAAAAAAAUAUAUAUAUAUGUACACUUUCACUGUUUAUACUAAAUUGUAAAAAGAAAAAGGUAAUAUACUACCUGCUUCAUUCAUUGAAAGAAUAAACUAGACUACAGAGGUGAGGCAUCCAGGGCCUCGAGAGAAACGCGUCAGACGACGGUAAAAAAAAAAAA
This 306-nucleotide long non-coding RNA is filed under the name Ananas comosus (pineapple). RNAcentral describes it as "long non-coding RNA (ACOM_LNC024978)". The record is from RNAcentral. Lineage: Eukaryota; Viridiplantae; Streptophyta; Magnoliopsida; Poales; Bromeliaceae.